CUAUUAGCAAUGAUUGGAAAUAUUAAAAGGGAACAGUAAGCUUAUCAGAGAGCCGAUGGUUGGUGAGAAUCGGUAGUUAUUGCCCUUUGAACUCGUCCAAGAGCUACUCCCUGAACUAUGAAAGUAAGGGUUGUCGGUUUUCUACCGUUAUGAAGAUAGGUGGUGAUAGCCACCGAAAAUGAGUGGAUUAAUUAUUGAUUAAUCAAUUAGAGUGGUACCGCGAGCAAUGCCUCGUCUCUAUA
Molecule: non-coding RNA, 242 nt
Filed under: Domibacillus aminovorans
Lineage: Bacteria; Bacillati; Bacillota; Bacilli; Caryophanales; Bacillaceae
Description: Bacillus aminovorans T-box sequence
Rfam family: T-box leader
About the family: Uncharged tRNA acts as the effector for transcription antitermination of genes in the T-box leader family. T-boxes are found upstream of many aminoacyl-tRNA synthetase genes and some amino acid biosynthetic genes usually in Gram-positive bacteria. The anticodon of a specific tRNA base pairs to a specifier sequence within the T-box motif, and the NCCA acceptor tail of the tRNA base pairs to a conserved bulge in the T-box antiterminator hairpin.
Source: RNAcentral